UCUCCGUUGGUGAACCAGCGGAGGGAUCAUUACCGAGUUUUUCUACUCCCAAACCUUUGGGACCUUCUACCUUUACUGUUGCUUCGGGGGGUUAACGCCCCGGAAGGCCCAGGAAGCCGCCGGAACCAGGCGCCGGCCGGCGGACACAAACUCUUGUAUUUCUGACUUUACAUGUCUGACUGGAAUCAUUAACAAAUGAAUCAAAACUUUCAACAACGGAUCCCUUGGUUCUGGCAUGGAUAAGAACGCAGC
This 252-nucleotide unclassified non-coding RNA is filed under the name plant metagenome. Its description in RNAcentral is "partial contains small subunit ribosomal RNA, internal transcribed spacer 1, and 5.8S ribosomal RNA". The record is from RNAcentral.